This 549-nucleotide ribosomal RNA is filed under the name uncultured bacterium. RNAcentral's name for it is "bacterial SSU rRNA". It matches the Rfam family "Bacterial small subunit ribosomal RNA", at positions 355 to 896 of the family's 1533-position model. The record is from RNAcentral.
UGGGGAAUUUUGGACAAUGGGGGAAACCCUGAUCCAGCCAUUCCGCGUGAGUGAAGAAGGCCUUCGGGUUGUAAAGCUCUUUUGUCCGGAGCGAAACGGUUACGGUGAAUAUCCGUGACUACUGACGGUACCGGAAGAAUAAGCACCGGCUAACUACGUGCCAGCAGCCGCGGUAAUACGUAGGGUGCGAGCGUUAAUCGGAAUUACUGGGCGUAAAGCGUGCGCAGGCGGUUUUGUAAGCCAGAUGUGAAAUCCCCGGGCUUAACCUGGGAAUGGCAUUUGGGACUGCAAGGCUUGAGUAUGGCAGAGGGGGCUAGAAUUCCUGGUGUAGCAGUGAAAUGCGUAGAUAUCAGGAGGAAUACCGAUGGCGAAGGCAGGCCCCUGGGUUAAUACUGACGCUCAUGCACGAAAGCGUGGGGAGCAAACAGGAUUAGAUACCCUGGUAGUCCACGCCCUAAACGAUGUCGACUGGUUGUUGGGGGUUUGACACUCUCAGUAACGAAGCUAACGCGUGAAGUCGACCGCCUGGGGAGUACGGCCGCAAGGUUA